RNAcentral lists this ribosomal RNA (434 nucleotides) under uncultured Coprococcus sp. RNAcentral's name for it is "partial 16S ribosomal RNA". It matches the Rfam family "Bacterial small subunit ribosomal RNA", at positions 341 to 792 of the family's 1533-position model. The record is from RNAcentral. Lineage: Bacteria; Bacillati; Bacillota; Clostridia; Lachnospirales; Lachnospiraceae.
ACGGAAGGCAGCAGUGGGGAAUAUUGCACAAUGGGGGAAACCCUGAUGCAGCGACGCCGCGUGAGUGAAGAAGUAUUUCGGUAUGUAAAGCUCUAUCAGCAGGGAAGAUAAUGACGGUACCUGACUAAGAAGCACCGGCUAAAUACGUGCCAGCAGCCGCGGUAAUACGUAUGGUGCAAGCGUUAUCCGGAUUUACUGGGUGUAAAGGGUGCGUAGGUGGCAUGGUAAGUCAGAUGUGAAAUACCGGGGCUCAACCCCGGGGCUGCAUUUGAAACUGCCAGGCUGGAGUACAGGAGAGGCAAGCGGAAUUCGUAGUGUAGCGGUGAAAUGCGUAGAUAUUAGGAGGAACACCAGUGGCGAAGGCGGCUUGCUGGACCGUUACUGACACUGAGGCACGAAAGCGUGGGGUGCAAACAGGAUUAGAUACCCUGGUA